This 253-nucleotide ribosomal RNA is filed under the name uncultured bacterium. Its description in RNAcentral is "partial 16S ribosomal RNA". It matches the Rfam family "Bacterial small subunit ribosomal RNA", at positions 524 to 776 of the family's 1533-position model. The record is from RNAcentral.
UACGUAGGGCGCGAGCGUUGUCCGGAAUUAUUGGGCGUAAAGAGCUCGUAGGCGGCCUGUUGCGUCCGCUGUGAAAUCCCGGGGCUCAACCCCGGGCCUGCAGUGGAUACGGGCUGGCUAGAGGCAGGCAGGGGAGAACGGAAUUCCUGGUGUAGCGGUGAAAUGCGCAGAUAUCAGGAGGAACACCGGUGGCGAAGGCGGUUCUCUGGGCCUGUACUGACGCUGAGGAGCGAAAGCGUGGGGAGCAAACAGG